CUGCGUCUCUAGCUGAAGACACACUAUGGCGAGUGGCAGUCCAGCAGUCAAGAGGGUAGUGGUGUAUCGGAAUGGGGACCCCUUUUCCCCAGGCCACCAGCUGGUGGUGACUCAACGCCGCUUCCCCACCCUGGAAACCUUUCUCUGUGAGGUGACAUCAGCUGUGCAGGCCCCACGGGCUGUGCGAGCCCUCUACACACCCUGCCAUGGGCACCCUGUCACCGACCUGGCAGACCUGCAGAACGGAGGGCAGUAUGUGGCUGCUGGCUUCGAACGAUUCCGCAAGGUCUACUACUUACCCCCUCGAGGGAAGGAUCCAGGUGGGAAGAGCAGCAGACUACCAGGUCCUCCCGUGACUCACUGCCCAUGUGAUGGGACCCUUGGACGGCAGCUACCUGCAGGUUCCCCUCGCUGCAUCUAUGUGUUCAGGAAUGGGGACCUGUUAAGUCCCCCAUUUAGCCUGAAGCUGUCCCAAACUGCCAGUGAGGACUGGGAAACAGUGUUGGCACUCCUGACAGAGAAGGCCAAAUUACAGAGCGGGGCUGUGUACAAACUCUGUACCCUGGAGGGACUCCCGUUGUCAGCAAGGGAGGCUCUGGUAAGUGGCCAUUACUAUGUGGCUGUUGGAGAGGAUGAGUUCAAGGCCCUCCCCUACCUGGAGCUGCUGGUGCCUAGCCCCUCACUGCCCAGGGGCUGCUGGCAUCCCCCAGACCCAAAGUCUAGGACUCACAAGCAGGGGCUCCCACAGGCACCAAGGGCAUUCAAGCUGGUACUGGGUGUAGAGAAGGUAAGAACAGCCAGUACCGACAGCCCAAGCCCAGUGCACCUUCUACAGGCCCAGGGCCACAGGGCAAAGGCAACCCAGCCCUCGCCACAGGAACCAAGCCGAAUUGAGCAAUCUGCUUUCUAUGCCAGACCCCAGCAGGCCAUUCAGACAACAAGCGUGCUCCCCACUCUCUCGUUUCCAUCAGAAGUCAAGGGAGUGUAUGGGGCUCCCCACCCAAGGAAGGAGACAUCAGGGGCCCAGGAUGUAGCAGACGAUGAAGACAUCUGCACAGAGGAACCUUUGGAUCAGAGGGCAGCACAGAUGGUGGAAGAGGCCCUGGCCCCAGAAAACCUGCCUGAGGCUGGGGCAGCAUCAGCCUCAGCCCCUGCUGCUCUGCCUUGAGAGCCACAACUCCAGCCAGGAACUGGGGGCCGCCACUCUGCAGUCACCUCUUCUCCUCAGCCUCCAGCAGCUGUUCCUGGGGAGCCACCACCUCACCUCCCCUGGGCCCACAGAUGAAGUUACAGCAAAGCUGAUUCAAACCCAGGUCUCCUGACUCGAAAUUCAGUGCUCCCUCAGGAUUCCAGCAUGAAAACUUGAACUACAAGGACCACCCCGGUUUGCUGAUAAGAAUGAGGUCUUUGCACUCAAAGAGAGCUCCUAAGAUUUCAAGGACAUCUGGACAAA
Manis javanica (Malayan pangolin) is the source of this 1453-nucleotide RNA transcript. It is a transcript of the gene named doublecortin domain containing 2B, with no coding region annotated. NCBI's taxonomy places the organism in Eukaryota, Metazoa, Chordata, Mammalia, Pholidota, Manidae. The record is from RefSeq and is a predicted model, not a curated record.